This is a long non-coding RNA of Panicum virgatum (switchgrass), 740 nucleotides long. RefSeq lists it as uncharacterized. Lineage: Eukaryota; Viridiplantae; Streptophyta; Magnoliopsida; Poales; Poaceae. The record is from RefSeq and is a predicted model, not a curated record. The transcript has 2 exons.
CAUCUUCUAAACACGAAAGCGCGUCCCGCCCCGGGCCAUUCUCUGACUCCUCGUUGCGCCACGUCGCCCGAAAACACAACAAGCGAACGAUCGGACCAUCCAACGGCCAUGGGAGCGAGCGCGGCCAGGAGCGCAGCGCGGGGGCCAGCAGGCCGGUGACCGGUGGCAGCCAAUGCCGGGGAGGCCCGGCCAGCUGCGAGGUGACCGCGGCGUCACGCGGCCAGGCGCAGCCGCCAUGGCCUGCCGACCACGGGGCCACGCAGUGCGGCCAGCUCGCCAUGACCGUCCGACCACGGGGCUAGCAGCCCUAGGCUCAGCACGGCCGAGCAGCCGGUCAGGCCGGCAACAAGCAGGUCCUCUCUCCCGUGUUCACACCUGCGCUGCUUUGACCUCGACGUCCGCUUCACAUUCGCCUAGCAGGUGCUCGACACAAUGCCGUUAGUACACUUGAAGCUGUCCGGCUGGACAGAAAUUCUCCCUCUGGGCCUGUUCCUUCUAAUCUGAAGAACCUCACCAACGUAACUGAGCUGUAAGUUGUUUAGUACCAUUGGGACAGACAAUCCUCUACUCUGCAUGUUAUUUGAACAGCCGGCUGGACAGAAAUUCUCCCUCUGGGCCAGUUCCUUCUAAUCUAAAGAACCUCACCAACGUUAGUGAGCUGUAAGUUGUUUAGUACCAUUGCAUUUGUGACUAUGUAUGGGAGCAUUCAGUCAUACUUAAGACCGUAUUGGUAUAUUUCA